GUGUUCGAUUAAGCCAUGCGAGUUAAAUGUUCUUCGUGAACAUAGCAGACUGCUCAGUAACACGUGGAUAACCUGCCCUUAGGACUGGCAUAACCCCGGGAAACUGGGGAUAAUUCCGGAUAGAUCAUAAAUGCUGGAAUGCUUUAUGAUUGAAAGGUUUCGACCGCCUUAGGAUGGAUCUGCGGCCUAUCAGGUUGUAGUGGGUGUAAUGUACCUACUAGCCUACGACGGGUACGGGUUGUGGAAGCAAGAGCCCGGAGAUGGAUUCUGAGACAUGAAUCCAGGCCCUACGGGGCGCAGCAGGCGCGAAAACUUUACAAUGCGGGAAACCGUGAUAAGGGAACACUGAGUGCUAGCAUUUAUGUUAGCUGUCCACAUGUGUAAAUAGCAUGUGAUAGCAAGGGCUGGGCAAGACCGGUGCCAGCCGCCGCGGUAACACCGGCAGCCCGAGUGGUGAUCACUAUUAUUGGGUCUAAAGGGUCCGUAGCCGGUUUAAUCAGUCUUCUGGGAAAUCUAAUCGCUUAACUAUUAGGCUUCCAGGGGAUACUGUUAGACUUGGGACCGGGAGAGGUAAGAGGUACUGCAGGGGUAGGAGUGAAAUCUUGUAAUCCCUGUGAGACCACCAGUGGCGAAGGCGUCUUACCAGAACGGGUCCGACGGUGAGGGACGAAAGCUGGGGGCACGAACCGGAUUAGAUACCCGGGUAGUCCCAGCUGUAAACGAUGCUCGUUAGGUGUCAGGAACGGUGCGACUGUUUCUGGUGCCGAAGGGAAGCCG
RNAcentral lists this ribosomal RNA (777 nucleotides) under uncultured archaeon. Its description in RNAcentral is "bacterial SSU rRNA". It matches the Rfam family "Archaeal small subunit ribosomal RNA", at positions 36 to 814 of the family's 1478-position model. The record is from RNAcentral.